AAGUGCCCAGAGAGGACGGUUCGUGGUGCGUGCGACGAAUUGUAGAAAUAAAGCAUACGAUUAAUCGCUAUUACCUUUGUGUUACCGGACCGAGUUCAUUCAAGUUUCAAUUACACACUACUUCUAUAAUAUGAACAGGACCCAAUUCAUUAAAGUUUCAAUGACGCAAUACUUCUAUAUUAUUGUUAAGCUAAAGCCGGGGUAAUAAUAAUAAUAACAACGCGCCUUGGAAUAGAAUAUUUCUAGAUAGAUGGCGCUAUAUAAAUGCCCAUUAUUAUUAUAUCGUCCAGCCCUAGUAUUGGUUGGUUGCAAAAUUAAAGAGGAAAAGAUGAUCAGUUUACCCGGAGCAUGGGCGUGUAUCGUAGACACAUUGACUGCAAAACUGACGUUAUUCGUGGCUGCUGCCUGGAAUGUGUACUCUCCUAAAGAAUGGAA
Molecule: long non-coding RNA, 435 nt
Organism: Lytechinus variegatus (green sea urchin)
Lineage: Eukaryota; Metazoa; Echinodermata; Echinoidea; Temnopleuroida; Toxopneustidae
Exons: 2
Source: RefSeq, a predicted model, not a curated record